Medicago truncatula (barrel medic) is the source of this 132-nucleotide microRNA precursor. It matches the Rfam family "MIR2599 microRNA precursor family". The record is from Rfam. NCBI's taxonomy places the organism in Eukaryota, Viridiplantae, Streptophyta, Magnoliopsida, Fabales, Fabaceae.
GUGGGUACAAGGAAUCUACUUUAUUCAGCACACAAACCUAAUUUCCGAGACAUGUUACAUACCUGAAACAUGUCUUAGAAAUUUGGAUUUUUCUUGGUUUGUGUGCUGAACAAAGUAGAUUCCUUGUACCCA